RNAcentral lists this ribosomal RNA (577 nucleotides) under uncultured bacterium. RNAcentral's name for it is "bacterial SSU rRNA". It matches the Rfam family "Bacterial small subunit ribosomal RNA", at positions 338 to 916 of the family's 1533-position model. The record is from RNAcentral.
CCUACGGGAGGCAGCAGUAAGGAAUAUUGGACAAUGGGCGAAAGCCUGAUCCAGCCAUGCCGCGUGAAGGAUUAAGGUCCUCUGGAUUGUAAACUUCUUUUAUGUGGGACGAAAAAAGGGCAUUCUUGCUCACUUGACGGUACCAUUUGAAUAAGCACCGGCUAACUCCGUGCCAGCAGCCGCGGUAAUACGGAGGGUGCAAGCGUUAUCCGGAUUCACUGGGUUUAAAGGGUGCGUAGGCGGGUAGGUAAGUCAGUGGUGAAAUCUCGAAGCUUAACUUCGAAACUGCCAUUGAUACUAUCUAUCUUGAAUAUUGUGGAGGUUUGCGGAAUAUGUCAUGUAGCGGUGAAAUGCUUAGAUAUGACAUAGAACACCGAUUGCGAAGGCAGCAGGCUACACAUAUAUUGACGCUGAGGCACGAAAGCGUGGGGAUCAAACAGGAUUAGAUACCCUGGUAGUCCACGCCCUAAACGAUGAUUACUCGACAUACGCGAUACACUGUGUGUGUCUGAGCGAAAGCAUUAAGUAAUCCACCUGGAAGUACGUCCGCAAGGAUGAAACUUAAAUGAAUUGACGG